RNAcentral lists this ribosomal RNA (253 nucleotides) under uncultured bacterium. RNAcentral's name for it is "partial 16S ribosomal RNA". It matches the Rfam family "Bacterial small subunit ribosomal RNA", at positions 524 to 776 of the family's 1533-position model. The record is from RNAcentral. RNAcentral also lists the same sequence under 1 other name.
UACGAAGGGAGCUAGCGUUGUUCGGAAUCACUGGGCGUAAAGCGCACGUAGGCGGAUAUGUCAGUCAGGGGUGAAAUCCCGGAGCUCAACUUCGGAACUGCCUUUGAUACAGCAUAUCUCGAGUCCGAGAGAGGUGAGUGGAAUUCCUAGUGUAGAGGUGAAAUUCGUAGAUAUUAGGAAGAACACCGGUGGCGAAGGCGGCUCACUGGCUCGGUACUGACGCUGAGGUGCGAAAGCGUGGGGAGCAAACAGG